CUGAAGGCACUCCACGUCCGCCUAUUGAUCAAGAGUUGUGGGAGAGGGCGUCUGUUGUGAAGAAGAACUACAUUAAAGGUCAAGGACAACGACGACGCCCAUCCUUCAGUGGCUCAGGCUUCUCUUCUACCCAGUCUACACAGUCAUCGAGCCAUCCAACAUGAUCUUCUGAAGAUACUCGGCGGGCAUCUGGGGGCUCUGAGUCCUGAGGAGUUAGCUGAAGCAGUUGCGGCAGCAGCAGCAUCACAACAUGGGGAUGACGACGAGGUAUAAAAUCAAUUUGUUGUAUAUAUUGUCGUAAUAUACCAAUAUUAACAUAGUUAGUAUAUAUUUGUAACUUGUUUUAUUAUUUUGUUAAUUACAGGGUGAUCAAGAAGGCGAUGAUGCUUGAUGUACCUGCUUUAGAUCAGUUUUGUAGUUAUAGUAUAAGCUUGUACUUGUAUAUUCAUUCUUUGGAUGUCUGUAUGUUACUUAAACAAGUUUUGAAAUGUUAUUAUAUUUAUUCAAAUCAUAUUGGGUUUUAAAGGUUUAUAUACUAGUUUGGUGUAUGUGUUGGUGG
RNAcentral lists this long non-coding RNA (559 nucleotides) under Panax ginseng (ginseng). Its description in RNAcentral is "long non-coding RNA (PGIN_LNC017591)". The record is from RNAcentral. Lineage: Eukaryota; Viridiplantae; Streptophyta; Magnoliopsida; Apiales; Araliaceae.